RNAcentral lists this ribosomal RNA (253 nucleotides) under uncultured bacterium. RNAcentral describes it as "partial 16S ribosomal RNA". It matches the Rfam family "Bacterial small subunit ribosomal RNA", at positions 524 to 776 of the family's 1533-position model. The record is from RNAcentral.
UACGUAGGGUCCAAGCGUUAUCCGGAAUCACUGGGCGUAAAGCGUGCGUAGGCGGCGCGUUAAGUGACGUGCGAAAUCUGGUGGCUCAACCAUCAGACUGUGCGUCAUACUGGCGUGCUGGAGGUCGGCAGAGGCAAGUGGAACUUGUAGUGUAGCAGUGAAAUGCGUAGAUAUUACAAAGAACACCAAUGGCGAAGGCAGCUUGCUGGGCCGCACCUGACGCUGAGGUACGAAAGCGUGGGGAGCGAACAGG